This 125-nucleotide small nuclear RNA is filed under the name Alligator sinensis (Chinese alligator). Its description in RNAcentral is "U2 spliceosomal RNA". It matches the Rfam family "U2 spliceosomal RNA". From Rfam's summary of the family: U2 is a small nuclear RNA (snRNA) component of the spliceosome (involved in pre-mRNA splicing). Lineage: Eukaryota; Metazoa; Chordata; Crocodylia; Alligatoridae. The record is from Rfam by way of RNAcentral.
UCAGAAUCUUGGCCUUUUGGCUAAGAUCAAGCAUUUUUGGCACCAAGAGGAGGGUGUCAGGGCCAGCUCUGGCCUUCUAGGUGUUGGCUUGGUAUUGCAGUACCUCUAGGCCCAGUGCCAGUUCC